UUUCCGUAGGUGAACCUGCGGAAGGAUCAUUAAAAGGUUUCUCUCGGGGCGGGUAAUACCGUUCCCUGGAGAACUCCACCCUUGUGUACUAUUCUUUGUUGCUUUGGUGGGUCGUGCGAUCGCCUAGCGAUUCAGUACCGGCUUUGGCUGCAGAGCGUCUACCUGAGGACCCAACUCAGUUACUUAUGUCGUCUGAGUACUAUUUAAUAGUUAAAACUUUCAACAACGGAUCUCUUGGUUCUG
This 243-nucleotide unclassified non-coding RNA is filed under the name plant metagenome. Its description in RNAcentral is "partial contains small subunit ribosomal RNA, internal transcribed spacer 1, and 5.8S ribosomal RNA". The record is from RNAcentral.